Camellia sinensis is the source of this 1102-nucleotide non-coding RNA. NCBI's taxonomy places the organism in Eukaryota, Viridiplantae, Streptophyta, Magnoliopsida, Ericales, Theaceae. The record is from RefSeq and is a predicted model, not a curated record.
GUGCCCCGUGCGAGUUAUGCGAUUUAAAAGAAAAGUAAAAAUUGUAUGACGGGUUACGUAUGGAUAAAAAUAUCAUUUUUUUAUUAUUAUUAUUAUCAAAAACUAAUGAUUCAGUUGGCAAAUAACGAAGAAUUUGCCUUGCGGAUUGAAAUUACAAAAGUUGAAUCAAAAGGUAAAGAACAGAGGCUAUCAGUGAGUUACUGUUAGAGGCUAACAGUGCGGGGAGUAAAGAGCAGAGAGAGCAGAGGGAGUAAAGAACACAGAGCGAGAGAUCAGCGAGAGAAAAGAAAAAAGCAGAGAGAGAGCUGCAAGAGAGGGCAGAGACAGAGCAGCGAGAGCAAGCAGAGAGAGAGAGAGAGCCACGUACCGACGCAACGAGUCGACGACGACGAGUAGGCGCCGAUCGGCAAGGGAAGGAGACAGCGGCGGUGAUGACAGCCGAUCGGCGAGGUGAGGAAUGAGACCAGAUGUUUGUGACAGACAGCGGCGAUGAAUCGAUAUGAAUGAGAUGAAAUGUGGGGUCAAUUAGGUUUAAUUGAGGAAUUAUUGUGUGUGUGUGUGAGUAUAUGUCUGAUAGAUGUGUGUGCGUGUAAUCUAUGGCUGGAAUUUCUUGCUCUGUGUGUGUAACAGAGGAUGUUUUUUUUUGCAUCAGGAGGCGGGUCGGGUCAGUUAAAAAUGCGGUUAGGCAAAAUUACACCCGCGCCGACCCGCCAGAACUGGGACCCAACCUGCUCGCCAGAGUUGAAAAAUUGGUCGGUUCGGAGCGAUUUGGUGCAGUUUUGGGGUAUUAUGCACAGCCUUCAUAACAACCCAUCACUACUUUUGGAAGACAAUUAUUGUCUGUCCUCAUCAUCCAUUAUAAUCAUCAUAUCCUUGGUGAAAAACUACUUUCUACACUUGUUGCUUUAGUUUCUUCACAUUCACAUGGGACGAUUUGCAACAGAAGAGGAUGCAAGGUUAUGCCACCUCAGGUUGCAUUAAGGAAGCUCUCCACACGUUGAAUUUCAUGAGGAAUAAUGUCCCUGGCAAACCCACUGUCUAUGAUUUUAAUGCUUUAAUACAUUGUUAUUCCAAAUCAAAAAAAACAUGUCUUGUUGGAUGA